Anthonomus grandis grandis is the source of this 541-nucleotide long non-coding RNA. RefSeq lists it as uncharacterized. The transcript has 2 exons. The record is from RefSeq and is a predicted model, not a curated record. Lineage: Eukaryota; Metazoa; Arthropoda; Insecta; Coleoptera; Curculionidae.
UCUAACGUUUGAAUAUGGUUUAGUGCGUGAUAAUAUAUGAAAUUUGACUUUCUGUCAAUCUAAGUGAAAAAUAAAAAACUUUAAAACUUUGCAAAAAAAACGACCAUUUUUCGUUAGUUUUGACAAAAGUCCAUUGACCGCAGAAUUACUGAAAAUCGUAGUAAUAAACAAUUCUAUGCAUAAGAAAAUUAUUUUUCACAUUCAUUCAAGUCCAAUUCAGGAAGGGGCCUUAAAUCAGAUAGUCAUACCUUCGGCGAACCUCCCAGGUUUAAUAAAAGGAAACUAUGCUGCCAGGAAAAGUAACAGAGAUGCCCUGUUCGAGUCAUCAUAAAAACCCGACUUAGAAGCGUGUGUCGCAAUUUGCUUGAACCACCAACACGAGCCGACCUUGUUAUGAAACACAAUGAAUACCACCUAUUGUUGUUAUUUGGAAAUUCAAUGGAAGCACGAUUAACAAUUUGUCAUAUAAUGUAUUAGUGUUUUUUGUUCUAUUUUAUCUUUGUAGGUUUUGCUAAAUAAAGAUUAUUAUUAUUAUGUAAAA